This 758-nucleotide ribosomal RNA is filed under the name Halomonas sp. JSM 111045. RNAcentral describes it as "bacterial SSU rRNA". It matches the Rfam family "Bacterial small subunit ribosomal RNA", at positions 663 to 1421 of the family's 1533-position model. Lineage: Bacteria; Pseudomonadati; Pseudomonadota; Gammaproteobacteria; Oceanospirillales; Halomonadaceae. The record is from RNAcentral.
AGAAUUCCCGGUGUAGCGGUGAAAUGCGUAGAGAUCGGGAGGAAUACCAGUGGCGAAGGCGGCCUUCUGGACUGACACUGACGCUGAGGUGCGAAAGCGUGGGUAGCAAACAGGAUUAGAUACCCUGGUAGUCCACGCCGUAAACGAUGUCGACUAGCCGUUGGGGUCCUCGAGACCUUUGUGGCGCAGUUAACGCGAUAAGUCGACCGCCUGGGGAGUACGGCCGCAAGGUUAAAACUCAAAUGAAUUGACGGGGGCCCGCACAAGCGGUGGAGCAUGUGGUUUAAUUCGAUGCAACGCGAAGAACCUUACCUACUCUUGACAUCGAGCGAACUUUCCAGAGAUGGAUUGGUGCCUUCGGGAACGCUCAGACAGGUGCUGCAUGGCCGUCGUCAGCUCGUGUUGUGAAAUGUUGGGUUAAGUCCCGUAACGAGCGCAACCCUUGUCCCUAUUUGCCAGCGAUUCGGUCGGGAACUCUAGGGAGACUGCCGGUGACAAACCGGAGGAAGGUGGGGACGACGUCAGGUCAUCAUGGCCCUUACGAGUAGGGCUACACACGUGCUACAAUGGCCGGUACAAUGGGCUGCAAUCCCGCGAGGGGGAGCUAAUCUCAUAAAGCCGGUCUCAGUCCGGAUCGGAGUCUGCAACUCGACUCCGUGAAGUCGGAAUCGCUAGUAAUCGUGCAUCAGAAUGGCACGGUGAAUACGUUCCCGGGCCUUGUACACACCGCCCGUCACACCAUGGGAGUGGACUGCACC